GAUGAACGCUGGCGGCGUGCCUAAUACAUGCAAGUCGAGCGAACAGACGAGGAGCUUGCUCCUCUGACGUUAGCGGCGGACGGGUGAGUAACACGUGGAUAACCUACCUAUAAGACUGGGAUAACUUCGGGAAACCGGAGCUAAUACCGGAUAACAUGUUGAACCGCAUGGUUCAACAGUGAAAGACGGUCUUGCUGUCACUUAUAGAUGGAUCCGCGCCGCAUUAGCUAGUUGGUAAGGUAACGGCUUACCAAGGCAACGAUGCGUAGCCGACCUGAGAGGUUGAUAGGCCAUACCUGAACUGAACCACGGUCCAGACUCCUACGGGAGGCAGCAGUAGGGAAUCUUCCGCAAUGAGAGAAAGCCUGACGGAGCAACGCCGCGUGAGUGAAGAAGGUCUUCGGAUCGUAAAACUCUGUGAUUAGGGAAGAACAAAUGUGGAAGUAACUAUGCACGGCUUGACGGUACCUAAUCAGAAAGCCACGGCUAACUACGUG
RNAcentral lists this ribosomal RNA (497 nucleotides) under uncultured bacterium. RNAcentral describes it as "partial 16S ribosomal RNA". It matches the Rfam family "Bacterial small subunit ribosomal RNA", at positions 28 to 507 of the family's 1533-position model. The record is from RNAcentral.